AGCCUUGUGGUGAUAUCACAUUAGAUUGCAAACCUAAAGAUGCAAACUCACAUUUGCCUAGGCUU
RNAcentral lists this transfer RNA (65 nucleotides) under Raiamas senegalensis (Senegal minnow). RNAcentral's name for it is "tRNA-Cys". It matches the Rfam family "tRNA". Rfam says of the family: Transfer RNA (tRNA) molecules are approximately 80 nucleotides in length. Their secondary structure includes four short double-helical elements and three loops (D, anti-codon, and T loops). Lineage: Eukaryota; Metazoa; Chordata; Actinopteri; Cypriniformes; Danionidae. The record is from RNAcentral.